Molecule: ribosomal RNA, 396 nt
Filed under: uncultured bacterium
Lineage: Bacteria
Description: bacterial SSU rRNA
Rfam family: Bacterial small subunit ribosomal RNA
Source: RNAcentral
AACGAACGCUGGCGGCGCGCCUAAUACAUGCAAGUCGAGCGAGAAGACGUAGCAAUACGUUUGUAAAGCGGCGAACGGGUGAGGAAUACAUGGGUAACCUACCCUCGAGUGGGGAAUAACUAGCCGAAAGGUUAGCUAAUACCGCGUACGCUCCUUGGACUUCGGUUCAGGGAGGAAAGCGAUACCGUGGGUAUCGCGCUCUUGGAUGGGCCCAUGUCCUAUCAGCUUGUUGGUGAGGAACGGCUCACCAAGGCUUCGACGGGUAGCUGGUCUGAGAGGACGAUCAGCCACACUGGCACUGCGACACGGGCCAGACUCCUACGGGAGGCAGCAGUAAGGAAUAUUGCGCAAUGGGCGAAAGCCUGACGCAGCGACGCCGCGUGGGGGAUGAAGGUC